UACAGAGGGUGCAAGCGUUGUUCGGAAUUAUUGGGCGUAAAGGGCGCGUAGGCGGUGCGGUAAGUCUGUAGUGAAAUCUCUGGGCUCAACUCAGAGUCUGCUGCAGAAACUGCCGUGCUUGAGUGCGGAAGAGGGGAGCGGAAUUUCCGGUGUAGCGGUGAAAUGCGUAGAUAUCGGAAGGAACACCUGUGGCGAAAGCGGCUCACUGGACCACAACUGACGCUGAUGCACGAAAGCUAGGGGAGCAAACAGG
RNAcentral lists this ribosomal RNA (253 nucleotides) under uncultured bacterium. RNAcentral describes it as "partial 16S ribosomal RNA". It matches the Rfam family "Bacterial small subunit ribosomal RNA", at positions 524 to 776 of the family's 1533-position model. The record is from RNAcentral.